Molecule: ribosomal RNA, 496 nt
Filed under: uncultured bacterium
Lineage: Bacteria
Description: partial 16S ribosomal RNA
Rfam family: Bacterial small subunit ribosomal RNA
Source: RNAcentral
AUGAACGCUGGCGGCGUGCCUAAUACAUUCAAGUCGAGCGAACAGACGAGGAGCUUGCUCCUCUGACGUUAGCGGCGGACGGGUGAGUAACACGUGGAUAACCUACCUAUAAGACUGGGAUAACUUCGGGAAACCGGAGCUAAUACCGGAUAAUAUAUUUAACCGCAUGGUUCAAUAGUGAAAUACGGUUUUGCUGUCACUUAUAGAUGGAUCCGCGCCGCAUUAGCUAGUUGGUAAGGUAACGGCUUACCAAGGCAACGAUGCGUAGCCGACCUGAGAGGGGGAACGGCCACACUGGAACUGAGACACGGUCCAGAAUCCUACGGGAGGCAGGAGGAGGGAAUCUUCCGGAAUGGGCGAAAGCCUGACGGAGCAAAGCCGGGGGAGGGAAGAAGGUCUUCGGAUCGUAAAACUCUGUUAUUAGGGAAGAACAAAUGUGUAAGUAACUAUGCACGUCUUGACGGUACCUAAUCAGAAAGCCACGGCUAACUACGUG